RNAcentral lists this ribosomal RNA (588 nucleotides) under Bacillus sp. ICS20414. RNAcentral describes it as "bacterial SSU rRNA". It matches the Rfam family "Bacterial small subunit ribosomal RNA", at positions 338 to 916 of the family's 1533-position model. The record is from RNAcentral. Lineage: Bacteria; Bacillati; Bacillota; Bacilli; Caryophanales; Bacillaceae.
CCUACGGGAGGCAGCAGUAGGGAAUCUUCCGCAAUGGACGAAAGUCUGACGGAGCAACGCCGCGUGAGUGAAGAAGGUUUUCGGAUCGUAAAACUCUGUUGUUAGGGAAGAACAAGUGCCGUUCGAAUAGGGCGGCACCUUGACGGUACCUAACCAGAAAGCCAUGGCUAACUACGUGCCAGCAGCCGCGGUAAUACGUAGGUGGCAAGCGUUGUCCGGAAUUAUUGGGCGUAAAGCGCGCGCAGGUGGUUUCUUAAGUCUGAUGUGAAAGCCCACGGCUCAACCGUGGAGGGUCAUUGGAAACUGGGGAACUUGAGUGCAGAAGAGGAAAGUGGAAUUCCAAGUGUAGCGGUGAAAUGCGUAGAUAUUUGGAGGAACACCAGUGGCGAAGGCGACUUUCUGGUCUGUAACUGACACUGAGGCGCGAAAGCGUGGGGAGCAAACAGGAUUAGAUACCCUGGUAGUCCACGCCGUAAACGAUGAGUGCUAAGUGUUAGAGGGUUUCCGCCCUUUAGUGCUGCAGCUAACGCAUUAAGCACUCCGCCUGGGGAGUACGGUCGCAAGACUGAAACUCAAAUGAAUUGACGG